GUGGGGCGUUUGGCCGCCGAGGACUCUGGGAAAUGUAGUUGGGGCGCGAGCUGGACCGAGCGCUUCGGUUAGCGGUCGCCGGCCGCCGCACCCAGGAAGCGACCUGUGCACGAACAGGCCGUUUCCUGGGACACAUGACACCUCCACAAUGGGUACAAGAGCCACCAGCAUCACUAGUGUCAGCGACUGGGGAGUCUGUUGAGAUGUGCAUCUGGAGAGCCCUGCCCUCUUGGAGCCCUGGAGGCCCUUUGGUUCCACUUUGGCUGAAAGGCUGAGCAUCUGGCUGACAGCAUGUGUUCGUUCCUGACUUCAUGCUGUGAUGACACAGUAGAAAGCGAGUGCCACAAAUCUCGCGUCAGAGCCCCAGGUGUCAGGGGCUGGGCUUGGACACUCUCGCCCCUGCCUCUUUGCGCUGACAGCAGCAGCAAAAGGAGAAGUCGUCUUGGGGAGGGUCUGCAGUUCAACCAAGGAUACAGCAUGCAGCCCACCACCACUAAGAAAUCUGCCCAUCAUAUCAACAUUGAGGAGAUGGCUCAGUUGUUAAAUGACCUUGCUUACACAGCCUGCCUGCCUGCCUGCCUGGGUUUGAUUCCCCAGUACGCACAUGAAGCCAGAUGCACAAAACGAAUGAAAGGUCCUGGAAGAAAAACCACAUAUGUCUUGGUCCUCCAUUGCCCGGAGCACCUCUGAGCUGCCAGACCCCAAGAAGCGCCACGUGGCUUGGCGGCUCUGCUGCUCUGAACACUGUGCUUGUUUGUUCCUAGUCCUUUGACUGAAGAUGAGACCUGCCUCCUUGGAUGGUUAUUGGUCAUUCUCUUCAAGGACACACCGAGAGGAAGGUCAUCUCCUACUUCUUACUGCCCCUUCCUCCCUGUCUCCCACGGCCAGGGAGACCAGCCAACCACACUGGCCUUGAAGACCCCACCAGGUGGGGGGAGGCCCGCAUUGCCUCCCUUUUGCUAAGGAGAUGUAUGUCACUAGUUGCUUUGCAUGGAGAUGCGAAAGGGUCCUUGGGGGAGGAACAGGUGGGAACUAACCAAGAGUCAGUACUGCUGUGGUCUGUUCUGAGCAUCCGGGUUGUGGAAAGCUGGCUUAGGGACCAUCUUCAUGUUUUCGUGGCUCUGAAUGAUAAGAUUGUGUUUGGGGCCUGGCUCUGUUUGCACAGUCCCUACCCUGGCACCAGGCACUCGCAGGGUAUCUGCUGAUGGAGUAAUGGCUGCACAGUUCCUUGGUGGCCACUCCAAAGAGGGCAUGUAAAGACAUCCCCUUGAAAGUCAUGCCCACUUAAGAGUCAGAUCUGACACUUGGGCAUAAGAAUUAGGAGACUCAGGAGUUCAAAGUCAUCCUUGGCUGUGAAAUGAGUUGGAGGCCAGCCUAGGCUACAUACAACCUUGGAGAUCCUGUCUC
Long non-coding RNA from Jaculus jaculus (lesser Egyptian jerboa), 1407 nucleotides. RefSeq lists it as uncharacterized. The transcript has 4 exons. The record is from RefSeq and is a predicted model, not a curated record. Lineage: Eukaryota; Metazoa; Chordata; Mammalia; Rodentia; Dipodidae.